Molecule: ribosomal RNA, 835 nt
Filed under: uncultured bacterium
Lineage: Bacteria
Description: bacterial SSU rRNA
Rfam family: Bacterial small subunit ribosomal RNA
Source: RNAcentral
AGCGCGCGUAGGUGGUUUGGUAAGUUGGAUGUGAAAGCCCCGGGCUCAACCUGGGAACUGCAUCCAAAACUGCCUGACUAGAGUACGGUAGAGGGUGGUGGAAUUUCCUGUGUAGCGGUGAAAUGCGUAGAUAUAGGAAGGAACACCAGUGGCGAAGGCGACCACCUGGACUGAUACUGACACUGAGGUGCGAAAGCGUGGGGAGCAAACAGGAUUAGAUACCCUGGUAGUCCACGCCGUAAACGAUGUCGACUAGCCGUUGGGCUCCUUGAGAGCUUAGUGGCGCAGCUAACGCAUUAAGUCGACCGCCUGGGGAGUACGGCCGCAAGGUUAAAACUCAAAUGAAUKGMCGGGGGCCCGCACAAGCAGCGGAGCCUGUGGUUUAAUUCGAAGCAACGCGAAGCACCUUACCUACCCUUGACAUCCCCUGAAUUAACUAGAGAUAGGCGAAGCCCUUCGCGGCAGGGAGACAGGUGGUGCAUGGUUGUCGUCAGCUCGUGUCGUGAGAUGUUAGAUUAAGUCCUGCAACGAGCGCCACCCUUAUCAUUAGUUGCUACCAUUAAGUUGAGCACUGUAGUGAGACUGCCCGGGUUAACCGAGAGGAGGGUGGGGAUCACGUCAUAUCAUCAUGCCCGUUAUGUGCAGGGCACCACACGCGCUACAAUGGUGAAACAGAGAGAUGCAAUACCGCGAGGUGCAAACAAACUAUAAAACUCACCCCAGUUAGGAUUGUAGGCUGAAACUCGCCUACAAGAAGCAGGAGUUGCUAGUAAUCGCGAAUCAGAAUGUCGCGGUGAAUUUGUUCCCGGCCUUUGUACACCCCCCCCCUCACCCC